Molecule: ribosomal RNA, 451 nt
Filed under: uncultured bacterium
Lineage: Bacteria
Description: bacterial SSU rRNA
Rfam family: Bacterial small subunit ribosomal RNA
Source: RNAcentral
GUUAGGAAUAUUCGUCAAUGGGGGAAACCCUGAACGAGCAAUGCCGCGUGAAGGAUGACGGUCCUAUGGAUUGUAAACUUCUGUUGUUAGGGAAGAACGACCUAAGUAGGAAAUGACUUAGGAGUGACGGUACCUUUCAAGAAAGCUCCGGCUAACUACGUGCCAGCAGCCGCGGUAAUACGUAGGGAGCGAGCGUUAUCCGGAUUUAUUGGGUGUAAAGGGUACGUAGGCGGCCUCAUAAGUCUGUGGUUUAAGUCCGAAGCUCAACUUCGGUUCGCCACAGAAACUGUUUGGCUUGAGUAUGGUAGAGGCAAGUGGAAUUUCUAGUGUAGCGGUUAAAUGCGUAGAUAUUAGAAGGAACACCAGUGGCGAAGGCGACUUGCUGGGCCAUUACUGACGCUGAGGUACGAAAGCGUGGGGAGCAAAUAGGAUUAGAAACCCUAGUAGUCCC